RNAcentral lists this long non-coding RNA (1197 nucleotides) under Sus scrofa (pig). RNAcentral's name for it is "lncRNA (ENSSSCG00030063940.1)". The record is from RNAcentral. Lineage: Eukaryota; Metazoa; Chordata; Mammalia; Artiodactyla; Suidae.
CCUGGCCUCGCUCAGUGGGUUAAGGAUCCAGAAUUACCAUGGGCUGUGGUGUGGGUCUUAGAUGUGGCUUGGAUCCUGGGUUGCUAUGGCUAUGGUGCAGGCCCACAGCUGCAGUUCCCCUUCGACCCCUAGCCUGGGAACUUCUGUGUUCCCUGGGUAUGGCCCUAAAAAGCAAAAAAAAAAAAAAAAAAAAAAAAAAAAAAAAAAGCUUACUACAAACUUCCUUGUGCAAUUGCCUUUGGUUUUCUAGGUUUGAUUGGAAUUUGAGACUGAGGCUGGCUAGGGCUCUGGACUUUGGAGUUUUGGGAUUGAAUCCUGGUUCUGCUCUCUACUGGUAUGUGGGGAAGGGAUUUGCACUCUCUGGGAGGGCUUGACUUUUCUUAUCUGGCAAAUGGAGAUUUAAUAUAUCCAUUUCUUUAAAAAGUUACUAUGCAGGAACAGGUGGGGGAUAAUGCUUUCUUUUAAAAAACAAACAAACAAACAUGAAAAUCCAACAAAAACCCUUGACAAAAGACCCUGAUAAGAAUAUAAAAAGGCAGCCAAAGAUUGGGAGAAAAUAUCCCAACACAUAAAAUGUGUAAUCAGAAUAUACAUAGAAUUCUCUGAACUCAAUAAAAAGAAGACAAAUAGCCCAAUUAAAAGAAUGAGCCAAAGAUUUGGACUCUUCUCCAAAGGAGUUAUGCAAACAGUCAAUAAGCCCAUGAAAAGAUACUCAACAUGAUUAAUCAUCAGAGAAUUGCAAAUUAAAACCACACUGAAAUACCACUAUACACUCAUCAGCAUGGGGAGAAUCAAAAAGACUAACAGGGGAGUUCCCGUCGUGGCGCAGUGGUUAACGAAUCCGACUAGGAACCAUGAGGUUGAGGGUUCUGUCCCCGCCCUUGCUCAUGAGUUAAGGAUCCAGCGUUGCCGUGAGCUGUGGUGUAGGUCACAGACGUGGCUCAGAUCCCGUGUUGCUGUGGCUGUGGCGUAGGGCUUCAGCUACAGCUCCGAUUCGACCCCUAGCCUGGGAACUUCCAUAUGCCACGGGAGCAGCCCAAGAAAUGGCAAAAAGACAAAAAAAAUAAAUAAAUUAAAAAAAAAAAAAAAAGAGAGAGAGAGAGAAAAGCAGACCAAUUACAAUCCAACUCAAUCUGGAUGGAUGCCCAGGAAAUUCUCUCUCCUAAACUAACCCAUGGGCAAAGUCAAUUCUAUUUU